Molecule: long non-coding RNA, 902 nt
Filed under: Pan troglodytes (chimpanzee)
Lineage: Eukaryota; Metazoa; Chordata; Mammalia; Primates; Hominidae
Description: long non-coding RNA NONPTRT007846
Source: RNAcentral
AUGUUGGCUUCAUCCAUGCUCGGUAGCUGAAGGGGUUCAGGGGGUGAGAGGGGAGCUGCCUUUGCUAGUAAGCCCAUGCUCUGUGGCCUCUGGGGUUCCUCGACGUCCAUGCCAGGGCUGCUAAGCCCAGCUGGGCAGACCUCACCCUCUGGUGGUGAAAGACACCCACAGGCCUGGGCCACUUCUGCCCGAUGCAUCCUGAAGUGCAGUGAAGUGCAGGAUGCAUCACUUCAGGAUGUGCAGUCCUGAAGGCCACGUUUAUCCAGGGGAGAAUCUGCUCACUUGUUCACCUUCCUCAUUUUGCCCAUUUCUAUUUCAAAGCCGUUUCCCAACUUCUAAGACACCCACUUCACUUGCUGUUUUUCAGAGUGGGGAUGUAAGAAUUUAUAGGAAGUCUCAAAUUGGUGACAGAUGAAUUCUGUGGGGCCGGGGCAAAAAAGGAGGCCAGCCUUGCUGUUGGGGUUUUAGGUAGAAUGUCAUUAACAUUUCCCACCAAACACAGAGUGUCUGGUUCACCUGCCAUGAAUUAAAUUGGGGCAAGAGUCUCCAAUGUAAAGAUGUGGUCCUGGUUCCUGUGCUUCAGUAGAAACCUAAACCCGGGGCUCCAGGUGACUUGUAACUCUUGCAUUUGAGUUUUUGUUGUUUCAGAAAAGUUCCAGGAAGAAGCUCAGCCCUAGGAGAAUACAAACCGAUUGGAUCAGGAGACCCCUGAGUUGGAGAUGAACAUUGGCAAACUCCCCUCGUCGCCGUGGUGACCUCCCGUCAUUAUCACAGUGAACUCCCCUCGUAGCCGUGGUGAACUCCCCUCAUUAUCAUGGUGAACCCCCUUCCUCGCCGUGGUGAACUCCCCUCAUUAUAACAGUGAACUACCCUCAUAAUCAUGGUGAACUCCCCUCAUCACC